This 1416-nucleotide unclassified non-coding RNA is filed under the name Hevea brasiliensis (rubber tree). Lineage: Eukaryota; Viridiplantae; Streptophyta; Magnoliopsida; Malpighiales; Euphorbiaceae. The record is from RNAcentral.
GCUUGCCCUAAUAGCUCUGGGGUGAUAGCAACGCUUGCAGUUCAGAGGGCUGUAAUUUCUCAGCAAAGCAUUGGUGGAUCUGGUUCACCUGUGACACUUUCUGCUGUUGGCCGGAUAAGGAGUGGAGGUAAUGGUUGGAAAAAUACUCUAAGUGGUGCUGCUGCUGCUGCUACUGGAAACGUGAGCUCUCUAUCUGGGUCCAUUGCUUCAGCUUUUCAAUACUACAACAAAAACCAUAACCAAUAUACAGAUCCAGCCUUUCUAAAAUUAAAUUAUCACCUGCUGGUUUUUUCUUCCCCUGGCUGCGUGAUACAAUAUUCUUUACGGAUGUGUUCUGGCCUAGAUUCUCUUACAACCACCACUCCUGUGGUGGCCACAACAUAUGAGUCAGGCGUUGAAGUUGAUACAAGAUUAGUCGUAGAUGCAAUACAGAAGUGGAAUAUUUGCCAGAAACAGAAUCGCAAAGAACGAGGUGGUAAUAUGGAUAUAUAUGGUGAAUUUGGAGAUUCUGAUAACAGUAAAAUAUUUCCUGAACGAAUGAAGGUAGAAAAUGGUCUCUAUUCCAAGAUUAGCAAUACAACCACAGAAGAAAAGAGAAGUUCUGAUGAAAGACAUCAUAUGUAUAUAUCCGAAGUGGAGCUUGAAAUGCAUAAACGUCAGAUUUCACUGUGGGCAAAACCAGAGAUCUAUUUUCAAUCAUUUGUUGCAGAUGAGGUUAAGAUAGGCGAUAUUUAUGCUUUUGGAGGAGAGACUGAGAUAGAAGAAGUUCCAACUCAUUUAGUCGAGGCGAGAUCAAAAGAUUUAGUCCCAGUUUUUGAUUUCAUUCAAGCUUCCAAGACCCAACCAGGGAGGGUAUCUGUUAACAGUGACAAUAGCCAACAGUCACUUCCUAGGCUGGAGGUCUCCAAUUACUGCAAUCUUAUGGCUAAUGGUGUUGAUGAAUUGCAUCAUUCCAUGACUGGUCCCAGGAGUAAAGUUCACUGCGGCCGAGAAGUUAAUGGGUUGGAUGGUCUUCCAAUGACAAGUCAAACUGCUAAUGGCUUUGUAAAUAGUAGUGAGAGCCCUAAAGCGGAUGCCGAGCUAGAUUUUGUAAAUAACAUGAAGUUUGUAAAUAAUAACCUAGAUGGCGCAGCAUUGGAGGAUCAUUUCGAAGAUGAAGUCGACGGUGUUGAUUAAAGGUGUUCGUUAUUCGUUUAUUACGCGGAAGGUUUCUGUAAGUGUUGAUAUUGUGGGGGGUGGAAAAUGUAGAGAAGAAAGAGGUUUUAGGCUCCUUGAUUGACCCAAUGAACAAAAUGUGGAUGCUUUAACUUUGUAUUGUAGAUAUUUAGAUAUGAAACUUAUCCAAUAAAUUAGCUGUAAUGUGUAAAUAAUUGCCUGGAUCUUGCAACUUGUUGCUUUUAUUUUACUAUAUCUUCA